ACGGGAGGCAGCAGUGAGGAAUAUUGGUCAAUGGGCGGAAGCCUGAACCAGCCAAGUCGCGUGAAGGAAGAAGGUAUUAUGUAUUGUAAACUUCUUUAGCAGCAGAGAAAUAAGGUGGACGUGUCCACUGAUGCUAGUAUGCUGAGAAUAAGCAUCGGCUAACUCCGUGCCAGCAGCCGCGGUAAUACGGAGGAUGCGAGCGUUAUCCGGAUUUAUUGGGUUUAAAGGGUGCGCAGGCGGUUUUUUAAGUCAGUGGUUAAAUCGUGAGGCUCAACCUCAUCACGCCAUUGAUACUGGAAGACUUGAUUGCGGUUGAGGUUGGCGGAAUUCGUCGUGUAGCGGUGAAAUGCAUAGAUAUGACGAAGAACACCGAUUGCGUAGGCAGCUGACCAAGCCGUAAAUGACGCUCAUGCACGAAAGUGCGGGGAUCGAACAGGAUUAGAUACCCUGGUA
This 453-nucleotide ribosomal RNA is filed under the name uncultured Porphyromonadaceae bacterium. RNAcentral describes it as "partial 16S ribosomal RNA". It matches the Rfam family "Bacterial small subunit ribosomal RNA", at positions 341 to 792 of the family's 1533-position model. Lineage: Bacteria; Pseudomonadati; Bacteroidota; Bacteroidia; Bacteroidales; Porphyromonadaceae. The record is from RNAcentral.